CUAGAGGACAUCUUACUAUUAUUACAACCCAAUGUAGUAUGAAUACUCGUGUAUGGCGUAGCUUUCCUUAAUUAGGAGCAGUGAUAACAUCAUGUAGGCGCAGAGACGUAGGAGACUCUAG
The submitters of this non-coding RNA (121 nucleotides) gave its source as unclassified sequences. The record is from Rfam.